GUGCCAGCCGCCGCGGUAAUACAGAGGGGGCAAGCGUUAUUCGGAAUUAUUGGGCGUAAAGGGCGCGUAGGCGGUUUCUUAAGUCGGAUGUGCAAUCCCCGGGCUCAACCUGGGAACUGCAUCCGAGACUGGGAGGCUAGAGUACUGGAGAGGGUGGUGGAAUUCCUCGUGUAGCGGUGAAAUGCGUAGAGAUGAGGAGGAACACCAGUGGCGAAGGCGGCCACCUGGACAGUAACUGACGCUGAGGCGCGAAAGCGUGGGUAGCAAACAGGAUUAGAUACCCUGGUAGUCCACGCUGUUAACGAUGAACACUUGGUGUGCCGGGAGUUGACCCCCGGCGUGCCGGAGCUAACGCGUUAAGUGUUCCGCCUGGGGAGUACGGUCGCAAGGCUGAA
RNAcentral lists this ribosomal RNA (395 nucleotides) under uncultured bacterium. RNAcentral describes it as "bacterial SSU rRNA". It matches the Rfam family "Bacterial small subunit ribosomal RNA", at positions 505 to 898 of the family's 1533-position model. The record is from RNAcentral.